AAAGUUAGAGGUUCGAAGGCGAUCAGAUACCGCCCUAGUUCUAACCAUAAACGAUGCCAGCCAGCGAUCCGGCUGUGUUCCUCAAAUGACACGCCGGGCAGCUUCCGGGAAACCAAAGCUUUUGGGUUCCGGGGGAAGUAUGGUUGCAAAGCUGAAACUUAAAGGAAUUGACGGAAGGGCACCACCAGGAAUGGAGCUUGCGGUUUAAUUUGACUCAACACGGGACAACCUACCCGGCCCGGACACAGGAAGGAUUGACAGAUUAAGAGCUCUUUCUUGAUUCUGUGGGUGGUGGUGCAUGGCCGUUCUUAGUUGGUGGACUGAUUUGUCUGGUUAAUUCCGUUAACGAACGAGACUCUAGCCUACUAAAUAGACGUUCCGAUUAUUUAUUUUUCGGACGUUCUUCUUAGAGGGACAAUCGGCGCUUAGCCCGAUGAGACAGAGCAAUAACAGGUCUGUUAUGCCCUUUGAUGUCCGGGGCCACACGCGUGCUACAUUGAAGGAAUCAGCGUGUGCUUUCCCUGUCCGACAGGACUGGGUAACCCGUUGAACCUCCUUCGUGCUGGGGAUAGGGGCUUGUAAUUAUUCCCCUUGAACGAGGAAUUCCUAGUAAGCGCGAAUCAUUCAGUUCGUGUAGACUAAGUCCCUGCCCUUUGUCCACACCGGCCGUCGUUACUACCGAUGGAAUGAUUUAGUGAGGUCUUCGGACUGGCGCUCGGAGCGGCCUUCGGGUCGCGCCGGCGUGCCGGAAAGAUGACCAAACUUGAUCAUU
This 772-nucleotide ribosomal RNA is filed under the name Agelenopsis aperta. RNAcentral's name for it is "SSU rRNA". It matches the Rfam family "Eukaryotic small subunit ribosomal RNA", at positions 986 to 1773 of the family's 1831-position model. The record is from RNAcentral. Lineage: Eukaryota; Metazoa; Arthropoda; Arachnida; Araneae; Agelenidae.